GGGCUUGUAGCUCAGUCGGUUAGAGCGCGCGCUUGAUAAGCGUGAGGUCGGAGGUUCAAGUCCUCCCAGGCCCA
Non-coding RNA from Bartonella rochalimae ATCC BAA-1498, 74 nucleotides. The record is from Rfam. Lineage: Bacteria; Pseudomonadati; Pseudomonadota; Alphaproteobacteria; Hyphomicrobiales; Bartonellaceae.